Molecule: long non-coding RNA, 227 nt
Filed under: Drosophila guanche
Lineage: Eukaryota; Metazoa; Arthropoda; Insecta; Diptera; Drosophilidae
Source: RNAcentral
GCCCAGGUGAACCGUCUUCUUGAACUCCAACGCUGUCAUGUGUUCUUCCAGGUUCUUGGAAAAGAGCUCCUUCAUGAACUCCUCGGGCGUGAUGGACGUGUCAACGUCAUACACCACGACCUGGGGUCUGGUCUCCGGGCGCUUCUUCACGUCCAGACCUGCUUCCUGGAACUUGGCGCUGUCCACUACCUUUCGGAGCUCGCUCACGGAAGGCGUGCGAAUGAUCG